GCCCUGGUAGCUCAAUUGGUUAGAGCGUCGGACUUUUACAAUUAUGUCUUUGAUAUAUAUGUCUUUGUCAUCCGAAGGCUGCGGGUUCGACCCCCGCCUGGGGCG
Non-coding RNA from Poronia punctata, 105 nucleotides. Lineage: Eukaryota; Fungi; Ascomycota; Sordariomycetes; Xylariales; Xylariaceae. The record is from the annotation of a GenBank genome assembly.